CAUAGGCAAUGGCUUGGUUAAGGGAACCCACCAAAGCCAUAGUGAAGGCAAGUCUUCAUAGGGCAAUUGUUACUGCUUAUGGACUCGAACCUGGGUGAUCUAUCCAUAAUCAGGAUGAAGCUUGAGUGAAACUAAGUGGAGGUUCAAACUGACUGAUGUUGAAGAAUCAACAGAUGAGUUGUGGUUAGGGGUGAAAUACCAUAUGAACCCAGAGUCAGCUGG
This 222-nucleotide non-coding RNA is filed under the name Gossypium hirsutum (cotton). RNAcentral's name for it is "Bacterial large subunit ribosomal RNA". It matches the Rfam family "Bacterial large subunit ribosomal RNA", at positions 629 to 852 of the family's 2925-position model. Lineage: Eukaryota; Viridiplantae; Streptophyta; Magnoliopsida; Malvales; Malvaceae. The record is from Rfam by way of RNAcentral.